AGUGAACGCUGGCGGUAGGCCUAACACAUGCAAGUCGAACGGCAGCACCGUAAGAGCUUGCUCUUACGGGUGGCGAGUGGCGGACGGGUGAGGAAUACAUCGGAAUCUACUUUUUCGUGGGGGAUAACGUAGGGAAACUUACGCUAAUACCGCAUACGACCUACGGGUGAAAGCAGGGGAUCUUCGGACCUUGCGCGAUUGAAUGAGCCGAUGUCGGAUUAGCUAGUUGGCGGGGUAAAGGCCCACCAAGGCGACGAUCCGUAGCUGGUCUGAGAGGAUGAUCAGCCACACUGGAACUGAGACACGGUCCAGACUCCUACGGGAGGCAGCAGUGGGGAAUAUUGGACAAGGGGCGCAAGCCUGAUCCAGCCAUACCGCGUGGGUGAAGAAGGCCUUCGGGUUGUAAAGCCCUUUUGUUGGGAAAGAAAAGCAGCAGGUUAAUACCCCGCUGUUCUGACGGUACCCAAAGAAUAAGCACCGGCUAACUUCGUG
This 492-nucleotide ribosomal RNA is filed under the name uncultured bacterium. RNAcentral's name for it is "partial 16S ribosomal RNA". It matches the Rfam family "Bacterial small subunit ribosomal RNA", at positions 29 to 507 of the family's 1533-position model. The record is from RNAcentral.